Molecule: long non-coding RNA, 1330 nt
Filed under: Oryctolagus cuniculus (rabbit)
Lineage: Eukaryota; Metazoa; Chordata; Mammalia; Lagomorpha; Leporidae
Description: lncRNA (ENSOCUG00000032752.1)
Source: RNAcentral
ACAGAGGCGGCCGGCCGAGCGGCGACAGAGAGAAAGCUCUUCCUGCUGCCUCGGGUCGGGAGUCGACGGGCGCCAACGGCGCGUGGGGCCUAGGCCUCGGCGGGCCGCGCGCCGGCCUCCUCCCCCCGGCCCGGGCCUGCGUCCCGCCCGCGGGGCCUGCCCGGGGUGGGGGAGAGGCGGGUCCUCCGGCGCCCCCAGCCCCGCCGCCGCUUUCUCGCCGGGGCCGGGAACAGGUGCCUGGCGCCCUGCGCUGGGCGGGCGCGCGGGGACAGCGAAGUUCCUGCCGGGCUGGUGGGGGCUGGUGGUGUCCCCUCUCCAGCCCUCGGGGUCCGGAGCGUCCGCGUCGUGCGGCGGGCACGGCCCAGGUGUCCGGCCCCGGCGCGGCCCCUUCAACUCUUUGUGUGGGCUGGGGAGAGGGGCGCCGAGACCGUCCUGCCGCUUUCUGGCUGCGGAGGUUCGGGGAAAUGGGGCGUGUGAAGCGCUUAUCGGAGCGCCAGACCCACAGCGUGUCCCAAUAAACCGCCUGCAUGAUUGAUUGGCGUGAUAGGAAGGUGUAAUUUAGUGGGGCGAGUGGACAGAAGUUGACCUACCUAGCUGCCUCGCUGCCCGUGCGCGAGUGGGGGAGGCAGCGGUGUUCGGCGUGGCCCCCGUCGGCGCCGGGGGCAUUGUUUUGGGCUCAGGGCUGGAAGGGGGCGAGCCCGGGCCGGACCCCCUGCGCGCCAGCCGCGGGUCCGCCUUCCCCGUGGUCGUCCCGCCUCUAGGAAAGUUGCUGGCAGCCGCUGCCCCUGCGCCGGGCGACGUGCUUGUCCUCGGGCCGGGGCCGGGGCCGGUGGACGGACGGCGCUGGGCGAGCGUGCCUGUCCUCGGGGUCGGGGCCGUGCCCCUGCCUUGCCGCGUCGGCGUGGGUGCAGGCUCUCGGCUGUUCGCGCGCAGAUGCGCGUCCCAGCCGCCUGCCCCUGUUCUCUGGCCGUGCGGAGGGCUUUGGGGUCGCGCUGCCGUGCUGCGCGUGUUUUUGUUUAGAAGCGGGCGGACGGAGUCGAAGUACGGUUUUGCAGGAAGGGACCUCUGCUUACGUUGCUACUUGUUGAAGCAGAAACUAAAAAUACAGCCGGGGUGUGGAGGCAGCGGUUUGGCCGUCUGGGGACGGGCGCACCGAGUUCUGCUAAUGCUGGGCUGCGUGGUGCGGCUGUGCCGGUCCUUGGGGAGCUGCGGCCGCCGAGGUGCUCAGCUUCGAGUUAGGACAGAGAAAACGGAGUGUGCGCGCCGCAGACGUCCGCCUAGACCUCGGCUUGUCUUAGUCCGUUUCCUUAGAGAAAUGAAAAUGUUUUGA